Molecule: ribosomal RNA, 691 nt
Filed under: uncultured bacterium
Lineage: Bacteria
Description: bacterial SSU rRNA
Rfam family: Bacterial small subunit ribosomal RNA
Source: RNAcentral
AACGAACGCUGGCGGCAGGCCUAACACAUGCAAGUCGAACGGGAUCUUCGGAUCUAGUGGCGGACGGGUGAGUAACGCGUGGGGACGUGCCCUUUGGUUCGGAAUAGCCCUGGGAACUGGGAGUAAUACCGGAUACGGUCGAGAGACGAAAGAUUUAUCGCCGAAGGAUCGGCCCGCGUUGGAUUAGGUAGUUGGUGGGGUAAUGGCCUACCAAGCCGACGAUCCAUAGCUGGUUUGAGAGGAUGAUCAGCCACACUGGGACUGAGACACGGCCCAGACUCCUACGGGAGGCAGCAGUGGGGAAUCUUAGACAAUGGGGGAAACCCUGAUCUAGCCAUGCCGCGUGAGCGAUGAAGGCCUUAGGGGUUGUAAAGCUCUUUCAGCUGGGAAGAUAAUGACGGUACCAGCAGAAGAAGCCCCGGUAACUCCGUGCCAGCAGCCGCGGUAAUACGGAGGGGCUAGCGUUGUUCGGAAUUACUGGGCGUAAAGCGCAGCGUAGGCGGACUGGAAGUCAGGGUGAAAUCCGGGNUCAACCCGGAACUGCCUUGAAACUCCGGUCUUGAGGUCGAGAGAGGUGAGUGGAAUUCCGAGUGUAGAGGUGAAAUUCGUAGAUAUUCGGAGGAACACCAGUGGCGAAGGCGGCUCACUGGCUCGAUACUGACGCUGAGGUGCGAAAGCGUGGGGAGCAAAC